Molecule: transfer RNA, 74 nt
Filed under: Ixodes scapularis (black-legged tick)
Lineage: Eukaryota; Metazoa; Arthropoda; Arachnida; Ixodida; Ixodidae
Description: tRNA-Ile
Rfam family: tRNA
About the family: Transfer RNA (tRNA) molecules are approximately 80 nucleotides in length.
Source: RNAcentral
GGCCUGCUAGCUCAGUCGGUUAGAGCGUCGUGCUAAUAACGCGAAGGUCACAGGCUCGAUAUUUGUGUAGGCCA